RNAcentral lists this long non-coding RNA (227 nucleotides) under Gossypium barbadense (sea-island cotton). RNAcentral's name for it is "long non-coding RNA (GBAR_LNC015450)". The record is from RNAcentral. Lineage: Eukaryota; Viridiplantae; Streptophyta; Magnoliopsida; Malvales; Malvaceae.
GGGUCUAUGGGAACUAUUAGAGACUCAGUAAUCGCUGGGUUGGAGGAUUUAGUGGGAGACUUGGGGGUCGCAGGAAUAGUGGAUGUAACGAUUUCUCUUCCAGUUGUGUUUAAUUCCUUCCCUCUUCUAUGACAGAUCAGUCUUCCAUCGGUACUGUCUUCUAUGCUCUAAGUUUUUCCUUUUUCUGUGGCCUCUUGUGGUCGCAACUGCUAGCUCUUUUCCUCGGG